Non-coding RNA from Streptomyces yokosukanensis, 75 nucleotides. It matches the Rfam family "ASpks TB sRNA". The record is from Rfam. Lineage: Bacteria; Bacillati; Actinomycetota; Actinomycetes; Kitasatosporales; Streptomycetaceae.
CUUCAACGACCCGAGCCACAGCGGCUUCUCGGGAUCGCGGUUCUUUCCGUAGGUCGCGAGCAGGGCCUGCGCCUC